This 330-nucleotide long non-coding RNA is filed under the name Physcomitrium patens. RNAcentral describes it as "long non-coding RNA (PPAT_LNC006425)". The record is from RNAcentral. Lineage: Eukaryota; Viridiplantae; Streptophyta; Bryopsida; Funariales; Funariaceae.
UAUAGCACUAAUUUUAUAGAAUAGUAGAAUUUAGAUUCAUAAAGGAAGAGAUUUUGAAACAAGAAAUAAGAAACAAAAAAAUAGAAUAUAGAUGGGAGGAGAAGGAAGAAAGAGAAGAAAAAGAAGAGGUGAAGAAGAAAGGAGAAAAGAAGGAAGAUUUUGAGAUCGAAGUCAAAAAAUAAGAAUGAAAAAUGGAGAUAAGAGAUUGAAAAUGAAAGACAAGAACUAAGGGCAUGAAGAAAAAAGAAAGAUUGAGAUAGAAGACAAAUAAAAAAAAAAGGAGAAAAGAGACAUAGAACCAAGAAGAAGAGACAAAAGACAAAUAAUAAG